GGUCUGUUCCCUUUCUUUUUCUCAUCAGCAUAUAGAGCAAAGAAAUACCUAACUUCUUCAUCGGUCCAUUUCUAAAUAACAAGUCUCAUCAAUAGACAAACAAGCUAAACUAGCAGAAAAAACAAUUACAAAAAAUCUAAGAAACUAGAACUGCCUAAAAUACUUACGUCAUCAGCCAUUCUUCUUGUCUUAUCUUGUUGUGAUUUAUGUCCAAACCUGAAAAGAUAAUACAGACCUAAGUGACCAAACUAUAAACAAUAAAUUUGACUUAAACAAAACGUCACAGACCAAAAAGAACUCAAACCCAUGUCUGAAAACAUUCACAGGAACUCAAACCCAUAAAACACAUGUCUGAUAAUCAGAUUAAAAACAGAGAUUUGAUAAUCAAAAUCUUGAAUCUAAAAGUAACCCAUAUCAAGAAUCAAAAAACCCAACAUCCAACUUAAUUAAUCUAAAGGUUCCAUUAUUCUAACACAAAACGCUAAGAGAGAAAGAGAGAGAGAGAGAGAGAGAGAGAGAGAGAGAGAGAGAGAGAGAGAGAGAGAGAGAGAGAGAGAGGGGACUGACCUUUAAGAGAGCUAAGGCGUGAGAGAUGGUGGAGAGAAGCGUGAGAGAUGGUGGAGAGAGAUCGUGAGAGAUGGUGAAGAGAGGUGUGAGAGAUGGAGAUGAGAGAUCGUGAGAGAUGGUGAAGAGAGGUGUGAGAGAGGCGUGAGAGAUGGUGAAGGGAGAGAGAGAGAGCCGAGGCCUGAGAGAUCGUGAGAGAUGGUGAGAGAGAGAGAGAGAGAGAGAGAGAGAGAGAGAGAGAGAGAGAGAGAGAGAAGAGAGGCGAGAGAGAUUUUAGGAUUUAGGUUUAAUGGUAUUGUUUUGUAAUUUUGAAGAUAGAUUGAGGGUAUUUUUGUAUUUUGAGUUUUUUUUUUUUUCUGAUCGCAGGUUUUGGUCGCAAACGCUGAAUUUCUCGGCGAUCAAAAUUUUUAAUCGCGGGUCGCUAGCGUCUGGUCGCUGCGAUCAGUCGCUGAACGUGCGACCGGUAAACGAACAACGUUUAGUCGCUCAGGUUGGUCGCUGACGCUAGCGACCUCCAAACGAACAGGGCCAAUAUAUUACAUAGUCGUGAUGGAUAUUAUUACCAUUUACAACAUAAGCCAAGCAUAAAAGAUAUAGCAAUGAUAGUAAUCAAAGUAUAAUUUAAAAGAAAAAAGUAUAAUAAAUCUCCCUAAUUCUAAUAUGAAUUAACUUUUAGACAACCAUUCGUUAUUAUGAAUCUAAAAC
Molecule: long non-coding RNA, 1269 nt
Filed under: Brassica rapa (field mustard)
Lineage: Eukaryota; Viridiplantae; Streptophyta; Magnoliopsida; Brassicales; Brassicaceae
Description: long non-coding RNA (BRAP_LNC000635)
Source: RNAcentral